Non-coding RNA from Merluccius polli (Benguela hake), 73 nucleotides. Lineage: Eukaryota; Metazoa; Chordata; Actinopteri; Gadiformes; Merlucciidae. The record is from the annotation of a GenBank genome assembly.
GGUCCUGACUAGCUCAACGCUAAGCAUGGCAUUAACGUCGCCAGGGUCAGGGGUUCGAUUCCCGCCGGGACCG